RNAcentral lists this long non-coding RNA (211 nucleotides) under Mytilus galloprovincialis (Mediterranean mussel). The record is from RNAcentral. Lineage: Eukaryota; Metazoa; Mollusca; Bivalvia; Mytilida; Mytilidae.
CUUAAAAUAGGUUGAAAUAUGAAAGAAUAUUUUCUUAUAAAAAAUAAAUAAAAAAGGGGGAAUCCGCGGCACACGUGUCUGCAAUUGUAAUCGCUUUUAUGAUAAUUUAAGUAUCAAUAUUCGUUUUUUUUUUAAACAAGUUAUAUCUUUAAAAAACAUAUCCGACGCAUUUUUGAUGUAUUAAAGCAAGUAUAUGAAGUUAAAAUCCAAC